UCUGGAUGAAGGCAUUGAUGUUUCUGAUUUCCGCCUAGAAGACUGUCUGGACUCUGUAGAAGAUCUGGUCAGAUACAAAAGAGGCCUUUCUGAGAAGAAGAUAGCUGAGGAAGCAAGGAAGGCAAAGAAAGCCAGACUUGGAGAAACCUCUGGCACCAAAGCUUCAGCACCUCUGAAUGUCUCUUCUGGUAAGUCCCUUCCUCCUAUUACUUCUGUACCUGUAAUGGCUUCUUCUACUCCUCUCCCAACACCUCCCAUCUUUACAACCUCAGAAAUUCCUCCUUCAACCAUUAGAAC
RNAcentral lists this long non-coding RNA (297 nucleotides) under Lathyrus oleraceus (garden pea). RNAcentral describes it as "Pisum sativum (pea) long non-coding RNA (PSAT_LNC039494)". The record is from RNAcentral. Lineage: Eukaryota; Viridiplantae; Streptophyta; Magnoliopsida; Fabales; Fabaceae.